CUGCCCUGCUUUUUUCUUCAAAAAUAAGUUAGUGAGGAAAAGAGAGGCAGGAUCCUCUCCACACCGACAGCAUUUCAGCAAUACUGUCUUCUUCCAGGUCAUGAUGCAGCCUUGGCAGCAGUUAAUCUUUGGGCACUGCGACCUUGCUGCACUACCCACGAGUGCUUGAAGGGGAGUCCAGGCAAGGACAUACAGAAAUCCUGUACCGAGUUUUGCUAUAGGAAACGACAAGGGGUUCUGCCCUGCUGGAAUGUGCUGUCAGCAAACCAGAGACACCUGGAUUUGUAGUAUGGGGAACAAUGUGCUAUGCUGCCUGCUUUCUGCUAAGCAUUGCAACACAAGUUCAUUCCCAGAGGAGCUGAAGAAAAUGCCCAUUGUGAGUUUCCCACAAGUAGGAGUGAAAUAAAGAGGAAAGGGGAAGAUCCCUGAGCCAUGCUUUACAGUCAUGUUCGUGGCUUUCUGCAGUGCUUACUCCAGUGGGCUAAACUUCAUACAGGUGACCUGAGCAUUAAGAAUGGCUUGGUGACAAGAAUAGGACAUGGUGCAGUCACAGUUCCAGGGAAAUAAAGUUGUGCUGCAACACAAGCCCAUCUAGUGCUGCAAUCCAAGGCAACUUCGAAAAUGACACAAUUUGGGGAAGGAAGGCAGAAUGCCACUGCAAGGAUCAGUUCAGAGGCUGGCAGUGUCAAGUGCCAGGGCAUGGGGAGAAAUUUCCCAUGGCAGGUGGUGUUACUCAGUAUGUCUCUGGCAAGGAGGAGACUCAGUGCUCCUGGAAAUCCAAGUCAUCACAGGUCAGGUGUCACCAAUGAACAGCUAGACUCCAUUUCUUGCAUGGUAAGUGCAGCUGAGAGGAUAUGGUGCUGGGUCAGAAAUAUGAUGCACUUCUUCAUCCCCCUUCCCCACACCCCCUAGAGUGAGCCCUACAACCCUUUCUGUAUCACACUUUACUUCAUGAGAAGGAGGCUGGCUAGAUGACCUCUAGAGAUUCCUUCCAACCUAAAUUAGUCCAAAUCCAUGAUCACUUAAUGUGGACAGAAUACGUUUCUAACCCAAGUACACCUUCAAAACUUAAACAGUUUACUGGGAACAAAUCAUAAACAGGCUUUUACCAUCGGAGUACUGAUGCUAGAGAUGUAUUUAACAAGGACUGCAGAACUAGUCCCACUGCAGGUACGUUAUUUAAGUGACAGAGCCAUUACUAACAAGAGCUUUGUCCCAUUUGCUUUAAUAAUGGAAUGUCAAUAUAUUCUAACAGCUCCUGCCAUUAUGUACAUAGGUAUUUUGAAAGAUUCUGAUUUGUUAUUUGAUUGC
Molecule: long non-coding RNA, 1311 nt
Organism: Vidua macroura (Pin-tailed whydah)
Lineage: Eukaryota; Metazoa; Chordata; Aves; Passeriformes; Viduidae
Exons: 3
Source: RefSeq, a predicted model, not a curated record